UCCGUGUCCUGGCUGGGGACACGAUGGAGGAGCUGUGCUGGUCCCCUGGGAGGUGGCCACAGGGUUGUGUGGCUCAACCAGAGCUUGGGGGACACCAGCCGCCUCUGACACGGUUACCUCUUGCUUCAUCUAACGCAUUUUGGGGUUGAGAUGAGGAACAGAGCAGCCAGCCAGCCAUCUAUCCACCAACCCAUCCCAAGGCUGGAGCAUGCCAAGCAGCCGACGAAAACCCAGCUGAAGAUACACUUGUGAGCUGGACCUUGGGAAAGUCAUCCUAUGGAAUGCAAGGUCUGGUGGAAGAGGCCAGUCCCUGGACUGGAGAACUGGAAGAAGAGUGAGGCGGCUUGGUGACAGAUGUGGGAGAAGAGACACCAUCGUCCUUGAGCCCAGGGAGCCUGUUUAUUAGCGCUGGUUAUGCUUCAAAGAUCUGAUGAAAGCUCAAGUUUCUGAGAUUCAUACUGCUGGGGAAAUCUAACUGCACCACGUCAGGACCCGGUGUGGUGGAGCUGCUGGGAGUAGCCAUUUCUGAAAACACCAGUAAGAUGUGAGUUUAACUGAAACUAGCAGUAUGAAUUAUUUUAGGAAACCCUGGGCUUGCAAGAAAACAUCUCCACUACAUCUGCAGGAAAAGAGCUUUUGUGGACAUAAGCCAUAUUUCCUAUAGACUGACCACUGUCUGCAGGAGAAGAAGAGGUCUGCAUCCACUCUUAGCUCUCUUCUCCUGCUAAGGUCAAGAGAUGUUAAAAGAUCAAUUUAUUCUUCAUCAUUAAGCCAGGCCCAGUGAUUCAAGUGGGCUCAAAGCAACUUGAGGAGCCAGCACACUCCUGCUUGGAAGUGCCGGCUUGUCUCAAAGCAGACUGUUUUGAAGGAUUACUGUUGCUGGCUGAAAUGCAAUGGCUGUGGUGAACAGCAGCCAUGGAGAUGGCCACGAGAAAAGGAAAUCCAGGCAGGUUGUAAACGUCACACUCUUCAAGACAACGUGCACUACAGUGGGCCAGACCCACAACAUCCCAGAGGAGAGCAGCCACAGCUACAGCUGGGUUUACCACCUGCAGAAGACCUGGCUUAUGCAAACUCAUUGCUCUCAUUUUCAGAAGCCUAGCAAAUAAUUCCAAAGCAGAAACAAAUACAGAACAACCAGCAAGAGCACUGCAAGCCCAGGAGCCUCUGUUUUCCUUCCACACGUGCUAUAUCUCUUUCAAACGCCAGAGAACUAUUUUUUUAUCUCUUCCUCCCUAACUGGCCACCCGUGCCAAAUUGCGGCGGCGGACCUGGGGGUAAUAACUGGUAACGAGCCCCUGUUUGCCUGGGCUGGUAGCCAGUAUUGCCUGACAACUGUCCUCAACAGAAGAAAUGAAAAGGUUCUGGUCAAAGGAGGAGAAAACCCCUGCAACCACAGACUGGCGGUAAUAACAGCCAGACAGGACAGGAUUAUGUUUAGUGCCCCUUUAGCAUGAAAAUUACUCACAAAAGAUGCAGUACGUCCUUUUGCAGGAAACAACCCUUUCAUGCUGUGAGCCCUGGAGAUAAAAGGAUUUAAUGCAUGCUAUGAGAGAGAAGGAGGAUGGAGGAGAGGUCCUCUAAGCUAUCAUUCCCCUUACCAGACGGAGUUCCUUUCCAAAAGAAAUUUCACCUGAAUUUCAGCCCGAGUCCCUCACCCUGUUUUCCAGAAGGCAGAAAAAGCUACCUGCCCCUCACCUUCCUGGCUGGAUUUUGGCAGGGCAAGGCCACUUAUCUGCUUUCACUUUUUGGACUGUCAUCAAUUCCUCAUUUUAAGGAAAAUAAAAGUAACAUAGCAGCUACCGGUGUAUUUUGACAGCACUGGCUGCAGUGAGUCUAAUGCUUUGGUCUGCACCUCUCCUCUUGCACGUAUCACUCAGAAAACCCUAAACCUUUGCAAUUCUGUGCUGGGUGCAGGGUAGACCCUCAGGAGGAAAGCGCAAGCCCUCCAUGCACGCAUCCGUGUGCACGGUGGCCAAACAGCCCGCGGGAAAUGAGUAUGCUGCAAAAACAUGAUUUCAUUUCUGGAUAUGUGUAUCCCAUGACCGUGCCUGCAAUACAGUGUCUGCGUGAUGGGGACUGCCCCGGAGGGGAAACAACUUUCCCUUAUUGCUAGCUAUCAAGAUGGGCUUGCUCGGCCCCCAGUGAGCAAUAUUUGGGAGGCUGGAAGUGCUGUCGUCGGUCCCUAUUGCUGCAGGCAUUCCUGAAUGGCGCUGGUGUGGCAAUGCUCUGGAUAUGAGCUGCUGGGAUGUGAAAAGCAACCCAAAACGUAAAAGGAAAGCCGUGCUGGUUUGUGCCAAUGCAGCUCCUUGCAAUAUCAGUCGAAGGCCACAGUUUUCAGCCACGGUGCACCAUCACUAACCACGCCGUGAAGUGAUGCUCCGGUUGUAACCUCAUUGCAGUAGAUAGGUGGUAUUUUGCAGGCUGGGGAAGAUGCUUGGAGGGAGUAGCUUGUUUGGAAAGGUCACGGCUUGGAGCACAAAAAGAGAAGAAAACCGGCACUAAAUGCAAAGCGAAAGGACAUGUCCUGUCCCUCCUCCCACCAGCCCACCCGAAGCCACCACCUCUCCACGCAGCUUCUCUGAUUAAU
Harpia harpyja (harpy eagle) is the source of this 2590-nucleotide long non-coding RNA. RefSeq lists it as uncharacterized. The transcript is spliced from 7 exons. NCBI's taxonomy places the organism in Eukaryota, Metazoa, Chordata, Aves, Accipitriformes, Accipitridae. The record is from RefSeq and is a predicted model, not a curated record.